Molecule: non-coding RNA, 105 nt
Organism: Acanthosepion pharaonis
Lineage: Eukaryota; Metazoa; Mollusca; Cephalopoda; Sepiida; Sepiidae
Source: the annotation of a GenBank genome assembly
UUACGGCCAUAUCACAUUGAAACACCGGUUCACGUAUGAUCAUGUAAGUUAAGCAACGUCGAGCCUGGUCAGUGCCUAUAUGGGUAACCGCUUGUGAAUACCAGG